CGGGGAGGUAGUGACGAAAAAUAACGAUACGGGACUCAUCCGAGGCCCCGUAAUCGGAAUGAGUACACUUUAAAUCCUUUAACGAGGACCAAUUGGAGGGCAAGUCUGGUGCCAGCAGCCGCGGUAAUUCCAGCUCCAAUAGCGUAUAUUAAAGUUGUUGCGGUUAAAAAGCUCGUAGUUGAAUCUGUGUGUCACAGUGUCGGUUCACCGCUCGCGGUGUUUAACUGGCAUUAUGUGGUACGUCCUACCGGUGGGCUUAGCUCCUUGCGGGCGGUCCAACUAAUAUCCCAUCGCGGUGCUCUUCAUUGAGUGUCGAGGUGGGCCGGUACGUUUACUUUGAACAAAUUAGAGUGCUUAAAGCAGGCUACCUUCGCCUGAAUACUGUGUGCAUGGAAUAAUGGAAUAGGACCUCGGUUCUAUUUUGUUGGUUUCCGGAACCCCGAGGUAAUGAUUAAUAGGGACAGAUGGGGGCAUUCGUAUUGCGACGUUAGAGGUGAAAUUCUUGGAUCGUCGCAAGACGGACAGAAGCGAAAGCAUUUGCCAAAAAUGUUUUCAUUAAUCAAGAACGAAAGUUAGAGGUUCGAAGGCGAUCAGAUACCGCCCUAGUUCUAACCAUAAACGAUGCCAGCUAGCGAUCCGCCGAAGUUCCUCCGAUGACUCGGCGGGCAGCUUCCGGGAAACCAAAGCUUUUGGGUUCCGGGGGAAGUAUGGUUGCAAAGCUGAAACUUAAAGGAAUUGACGGAAGGGCACCACCAGGAGUGGAGCCUGCGGCUUAAUUUGACUC
This 784-nucleotide ribosomal RNA is filed under the name Centris analis. RNAcentral's name for it is "SSU rRNA". It matches the Rfam family "Eukaryotic small subunit ribosomal RNA", at positions 457 to 1201 of the family's 1831-position model. Lineage: Eukaryota; Metazoa; Arthropoda; Insecta; Hymenoptera; Apidae. The record is from RNAcentral.